ACAUUCUAAGAGGAACCAACUGAUCGAGUUCCUGGUUCGAAAGGUGAGUAAACCAGUCCAGAUUUUUUCGAGCCAGGCUAUCCAUGAUCAGGUUUACUCUGAAGUCUGAACUAAUAUAGAGAUCGAUCAUUUCUCGCCUCUGAAGUGCAUAGUACGUGUUGUUGUGUUGUGUGGAGUAUUCCAGUUUGUAAUACCUUCGUCCCACAAUGUAAGAUCUUUUAGCAAGCUAUGUUAGCUUGUAAAAAGGACUUACAUUGUGGGAUAUAGGGAGUAUUAAUC
This 279-nucleotide long non-coding RNA is filed under the name Hordeum vulgare. RNAcentral describes it as "long non-coding RNA (HVUL_LNC015211)". Lineage: Eukaryota; Viridiplantae; Streptophyta; Magnoliopsida; Poales; Poaceae. The record is from RNAcentral.